This 402-nucleotide ribosomal RNA is filed under the name bacterium. RNAcentral's name for it is "partial 16S ribosomal RNA". It matches the Rfam family "Bacterial small subunit ribosomal RNA", at positions 355 to 776 of the family's 1533-position model. The record is from RNAcentral.
UGGGGAAUUUUGCACUAUGGGGGAAACCCUGAUGCAGCGACGCCGCGUGAUUUAGAAGGCCUUCGGGUUGUAAAAAUCUUUUCUAUGGGAAGAAAAUGACAGUACCAUAGGAAUAAGGACCGGCUAAUUACGUGCCAGCAGCCGCGGUAAUACGUAAGGUCCGAGCGUUGUCCGGAAUCAUUGGGCGUAAAGGGUACGUAGGCGGGUAAGCAAGUUAGAAGUGAAAUCCUAUAGCUCAACUAUAGUAAGCUUUUAAAACUGCUCAUCUUGAGGUAUGGAAGGGAAAGUGGAAUUCCUAGUGUAGCGGUGAAAUGCGCAGAUAUUAGGAGGAAUACCGGUGGCGAAGGCGACUUUCUGGCCAUAACCUGACGCUGAGGUACGAAAGCGUGGGUAGCAAACAGG